Molecule: transfer RNA, 69 nt
Filed under: Segonzacia mesatlantica
Lineage: Eukaryota; Metazoa; Arthropoda; Malacostraca; Decapoda; Bythograeidae
Description: tRNA-Met
Rfam family: tRNA
About the family: Transfer RNA (tRNA) molecules are approximately 80 nucleotides in length. Their secondary structure includes four short double-helical elements and three loops (D, anti-codon, and T loops).
Source: RNAcentral
UAAAAGAUAAGCUAAAUUAAGCUAAUGGGCUCAUACCCCAUAAAUGAGAGUUUAAUCUCUCUCUUUUUA